UUWAAUGGCCGCAGUAAUUUGACUGUGCAAAGGUAGCAUAAUAAUUAGUUUUUUAAWUAAAAGCUUGUAUGAAUGGUUGGACGAGAUAAAUACUGUCUCUGAAUAAUAAAUAGAAUUUAAUUUUUAAGUUAAAAAGCUUWAAUGAUAAUAAAAGACGAGAAGACCCUAUAGAUCUUUAUAAUAUUUUUUAUAUAUUUAAUUAAGAUUAUUUUAUUGUUUAUAAUAUAUAUUAWUGUAUUGGGGUAAUAGAAAGAUUGAAUUAAUUCUUUAUUAUUUAUAUAUAAAUUAAUAGAUUUAUGAUCCUUUAUUAAAGAUUGUAAGAUUAAGUUACCUUAGGGAUAACAGCGUAAUUUUUUUGAAGAGUUCAUAUCGAUAAAAAAGUUUGCGACCUCKAUGUUGGAUUAAAAAUUAUUCUAGGUGUAGUAGUUUAGAAUUUUGGUCUGUUCGACCAUUAAAUUUUUACAUGAUCUGAGUUCAGACCGGUGUAAGCCAGGUCGGUUUCUAUCUUUAUUWAAUUAAUAUAUUUUAGUACGAAAGGACCAAAUAUAGAAUAUAUUUAUAUUUUUUAUUUUUGAAUUUUAUUAUUACUUUGGCAGAUUAGUGCAAUGAAUUUAGAAUUCAAGAAUAUAAUUUUUAUUAUAUGUAAUAUUGUAUAUUUUUGAUUUUAUUUCAUUGGUUUGUAUAUUGWUAUUAGUUAUCUGUGUUUUGGUAGGRGUAGCUUUUUUAACAUUA
This 732-nucleotide ribosomal RNA is filed under the name Paroster gibbi. Its description in RNAcentral is "partial 16S ribosomal RNA". The stretch from base 338 to 496 matches the Rfam family "Bacterial large subunit ribosomal RNA", at positions 2473 to 2632 of the family's 2925-position model. The record is from RNAcentral. Lineage: Eukaryota; Metazoa; Arthropoda; Insecta; Coleoptera; Dytiscidae.